RNAcentral lists this ribosomal RNA (518 nucleotides) under Nectriaceae sp. O_3_BESC_246m. RNAcentral's name for it is "eukaryotic LSU rRNA". It matches the Rfam family "Eukaryotic large subunit ribosomal RNA", at positions 1 to 532 of the family's 3401-position model. Lineage: Eukaryota; Fungi; Ascomycota; Sordariomycetes; Hypocreales; Nectriaceae. The record is from RNAcentral.
ACCUCGGAUCAGGUAGGAAUACCCGCUGAACUUAAGCAUAUCAAUAAGCGGAGGAAAAGAAACCAACAGGGAUUGCCCUAGUAACGGCGAGUGAAGCGGCAACAGCUCAAAUUUGAAAUCUGGCCCUCGGGUCCGAAUUGUAAUUUGUAGAGGAUGCUUUUGGUGAGGUACCUUCCGAGUUCCCUGGAACGGGACGCCAUAGAGGGUGAGAGCCCCGUCUGGUCGGAUACCGAUCCUCUGUAAAGCUCCUUCGACGAGUCGAGUAGUUUGGGAAUGCUGCUCUAAAUGNNAGGUAUAUGUCUUCUAAAGCUAAAUAUUGGCCAGAGACCGAUAGCGCACAAGUAGAGUGAUCGAAAGAUGAAAAGCACUUUGAAAAGAGAGUUAAAAAGUACGUGAAAUUGNUGAAAGGGAAGCGCUCAUGANCAGACUUGGGCUUGGUUGAUCAUCCNGGGUUCUCCCUGGUGCACUCUUCCAGCCCAGGNCAGCAUCAGUUCGCUGNGGGGGANAAAGGCUUUGGG